GUUUUCUGGAUCACAUAAAAAAUGAUGAAGCACAUGAAAACGUUUCCUAAAUCUGAAAGUGCUGCACAAAUGCUCAUGAUUCCACAAAGGCCAAGAGAAGAGAGGGGACAAUAACAGAGAGAGCAGACAAUAGAGGAGGCCACGAAGAGAGAGUGAGAAGGAAAUGAGUUGGGUCUUUGCUGGCGUGCAGACCGGAAGAAUCUGGACAAUAGAAUCCACGUCAAGGGUAGAAAUACAAAUUUAGGAGCUGCCAAAACACAAGUGAUAAAAGAGGUCACACAAGUAGAUAAACUGACCUAGGUAUCUCGGAGUAAAAAAGGUGGCCCAGCAAAAGCCUUUGGAAUAACGCAGAAGCGCACCCCCAGAGAGGGAUCAGGGAAGGAAGCAGGGAAGGCAGCUGGGGGGUUCUGAGGAGAAGGGGAGGUUCUGUGGAGAAGGGGGGUUUUGAGGAGAAGAGGGUUCUGUGGAGAAGGGGGGUCUGAGGAGAAGGAGGUUCUGAAGAGAAGGGGGUUCUGAGGAGAAGGGGAGGUCCUGUGGAGAAGGGGGGUUCUGUGGAGAAGGGGGGUUCUGUGGAGAAGGGGGGUUUUGAGGAGAAGAGGGUUCUGUGGAGAGGGGGAGUUUUGAGGAGAAGGGGUUUCUGUGGAGAAGGGGGUUCUGUGGAGAAGGGGGGUUCUGAAGAGAAGGGGGUUCUGAAGAGAAGGGGGGUUCUGAGAAGUGGGUCUUAAGGAAGAGAGGGGGAAAUAUAGCAGCUAAAGAGUGACAGGCUUUCUUAGCAAAAGAGAACAGGUGGAAGAAUGGCCCAGGCUGUGUUAAAAAAAG
This is a non-coding RNA of Ceratotherium simum simum (southern white rhinoceros), 819 nucleotides long. The record is from RefSeq and is a predicted model, not a curated record. Lineage: Eukaryota; Metazoa; Chordata; Mammalia; Perissodactyla; Rhinocerotidae.